CACGUAGGGCGCAAGCGUUGUCCGGAAUUAUUGGGCGUAAAGAGCUCGUAGGCGGUCUGUUGCGUCUGCCGUGAAAACCCGAGGCUUAACCUCGGGCCUGCGGUGGAUACGGGCAGACUAGAAGUAGGUAGGGGAGAACGGAAUUCCCGGUGUAGCGGUGAAAUGCGCAGAUAUCGGGAGGAACACCGGUGGCGAAGGCGGUUCUCUGGGCCUUACCUGACGCUGAGGAGCGAAAGCGUGGGGAGCGAACAGG
RNAcentral lists this ribosomal RNA (253 nucleotides) under uncultured bacterium. RNAcentral's name for it is "partial 16S ribosomal RNA". It matches the Rfam family "Bacterial small subunit ribosomal RNA", at positions 524 to 776 of the family's 1533-position model. The record is from RNAcentral.